UAUAUCCAUCAUUUAGUAUUUUCGACCAUGAUUUAGUAUUUUCUACCAAAAAUCUGGGCGAUAAUACUACGACAUAGUAUUUUUACUAUGCGAACUUUGACAGCUCAUAGUAAUUACCUCGUGUCAAAAUUACCAUGCGCAUGAUAUUGUGAUAUUACACAAUUCAUGUUCUUGAAAUUACUAUGCCCAUAGUAAUGUUGAAACAUCGUCAUUCGUGUUGUCGAAAAUACUAUGCUCAAUAUAAAUUCAUAGUAUUUUUACCAAUGUGCAUCGUUUGAGUGUUUGUUUUUUUUCUGGUCAGUCGGUCGCGAUUUCGGAACGCGGACCAAAAUGUUGGGCGGGUACUUCGCUGAGGUGAAUGCGGCUGUUUCGGCUAAUCAGGUGACCAGCCCACUGGGAGUGAAAAAUAGAAUCAGCACUUUUGUCGGGUCGGAAAACGCAGUCUCUCAGCUGUUGCAUCCCGAAAUCCCCCGGUCGUGAGAACCUCCCUCCUGACCAGCCACUGAAAAUUGACGGGGGAAUUGAAGUUUCCAGAAGAUUUUCCUUGCGCCUUUCUGAAUCGUUGGCCUCAAGAUGACUAUGCCAACACAUCCAAAUCGAUUCCAGCGGCAUACAAUAAAUUAUCAAAGUAGAAGCAAACUAUUGUAUCGUGCUUCAAUUAUAAAGUGAAGUGUUGUGAUAAUUGUUUGGAAAAAUAAAAAUGUAAAUCGUAUCAAAAUAAAUUAUUUCUGG
Long non-coding RNA from Uranotaenia lowii, 732 nucleotides. RefSeq lists it as uncharacterized. The transcript has 3 exons. The record is from RefSeq and is a predicted model, not a curated record. NCBI's taxonomy places the organism in Eukaryota, Metazoa, Arthropoda, Insecta, Diptera, Culicidae.